UUGACGCCUCUUUAAGUUUACAACGAGGUUCGGUAGGUUUCGGUUGUGUAAUCCGGAAGGAUGAUGAGAGUUUUGUGGCUGCUAGAGCAGGCUCUUUUUAUAGCCAGAUGGAUGCAAAGUGUGCUGAAGUUAUAGCAUUCCGGGAAGCAUUGAGCUGGAUUAAAGAGUGUGGAUGGGAUCGAGUUCUUUUCGAAUUGGAUGCUCAGGUACUUGUGAUGUCAG
RNAcentral lists this long non-coding RNA (222 nucleotides) under Manihot esculenta (cassava). RNAcentral's name for it is "long non-coding RNA (MESC_LNC004273)". The record is from RNAcentral. Lineage: Eukaryota; Viridiplantae; Streptophyta; Magnoliopsida; Malpighiales; Euphorbiaceae.